UUCUCUUCCACUAUUCUUAUCUGCUCGUGCACGCUUUGAAUCUGGUCGUUCAAGUCUCGUAUCUGGCCAUCCACGCUUCGUAUCUGCUCUUCCGAAUUUCCACCACCGUCAGCCAUUCUUCUCCACGACCCAAUUCAAUAAGCAACCAACGAGGCGAGCCCGAUCUGAGGAACACGACCCCCUAUACCCCCAGACGAUGAUUUCUCCACGCUACUCUCAGAGCACAAGUCGUCAUCACCGUUUCCACCAACUUCAAGACCCUUUGCACCAGCAUCCAUGUGCAGCAAACUUAUCUAUAUCAACGUCCAGAAUGUCCACCGGCAUAAAUGUCCAGCACCUCACGUCCCAAUCGUCAGAAAGAAGUCGCUGAGUUGAAGCAAAUGAGACGAAGUAGACCCUAACUCGAAACCUCGACGAGCACCCCGAUACCCAGAUCAAAACUGUCCAAUACCCACCUAAACCGAAUCCCAAACCACGUUCAAACUAUCACCUAGCCAAACCAGUCCUAAAGUAGGUACCGUAUCUUGGAACGCCCGUUAUUGCAUUGGUAAAAAGCUGGGCUCGAUUUUUACGUGUUGAGGUUACAGGGAGUCUGUGUUUUUGAAGUUUUGUGAGGAUCCAUUAUAAAAUACAACUCGGGAGAAGAAUGUGGAGGUGAUGUAUGCACAAAAGUAGUUGAUGUUGAAUUUUACACUAUAUCUAUAUGGUUAGAUUUGCUAUUGCUAUCACCAAUAUUUUAAUAAAAAUUUGAAACAUAAAAUAAAAAUUAUUUCUAAAUUUCCAUUACAAAUAAAGAAUAGGCCAACUUUGCAUGAAAUUUGUUUGAAUGGAGUUGAAAUGCAACAUUCUCAAUGUGGUGAUUAAUUGGAAUUUUCAUUCUGCAUAAAUAACAACUCGUUUUUACUUAUGAACUCACUUGUUGAAUCAAAUUGUCACAUACUUUUAUUCUCAUAGUCCUACUGAAUAUUUUUAUUUUUCAUUCCACUAAUGACAAAAGAUUGUGGUAAUUUUUUACUUUUAUUUUUACAUUAGUGUGAUGAAAUUUGUCUAUAUAGAUCACUUUGUAUGUUAGUAAUUGGUAGGUAUAUAUAUAUAUAUAUAUAUAUAUAUUUUUAAAUUGAUGGUAAAUUUUCUAAUUGUAAUGGUGCUAUUAUAAGCCAAAAUUAUCAAGAACAUGAAUCUCAAAGAAUUGAAAGAUCAAGACACUCUUGUAUCACUCAAACUGACUAGACAAUAACUCAAAGAUUGUAUAAUAUUAAAAUAGAAUAGCUAUCACCAAAAACAAGAAGAUUGGAAAGUCUUGAAAUAAGACUAAGGACUAGAAAGAAAUUGAUAAGAGUGAAGAAGGCUUCACUCUUGCCACUAUGUAUUCUAUCUAACUAAGAGCUACAUGACAACAUUAUAUAAGACCUUUGACAUGUGUUCAAAUUGCGAGACAUAUGUCUUAACUUCUAAGAGAAGUUUUCUAUAUGUGCACCACAUAGUUAGCUUGUUCCACAACCUACCAACAUAUGUCACAAUUGGCUAACUUGUUGACUAAGUUUCUAACCUACAAACGCGUAUAAAAUUAAAGCCGCAUCUUUGAAGCUUUUCUAGAAGAUUUUAUGAAAUUAAUCUAUUUUUAUCUACUUCUAUUUAAUUACAUAGGUAAUUAUUGGAAUAAAUAUAUAGAUAUAUAUUUAUAUAUAUAUAUAUAGAUAUAUAUUUAUAUAUCCAUGAUAAUAUCUUUCUUCUAAGGAUAAAUUCCAUAAAGAGUUGUCACCAUAGAUUAAAAAAUUUUAAGUUGUAGAAAAUCAUGUUUGGUAGAUAGUUUGAUCUUUGUUGUUUUUGAAGAUUGUUGAUAGGUCAUCUCAACUAUUGAUAAUAUUUCAAACUAGCGUGAAAAGACUACCUUGUUAUUUGAUCAUUGUCAAGGCCUUCAUAAAUUCUUUCAAAAAAAAAACAUUUGAAAUAUUGUUAUGAGACUUUCCUAUCUCUAAUAUAAUCACCAAACAUUGGAAGUCACUUCCAAGGUCAUGAUACCAAACACAUUGUAUCUUACCAUCUAUUCAAAGAAAAACAACUCAUUCUUUAGGAUCUUCAAUUUGAUUGCGUCAUCUUAAAAGUUGUACCAAUUGUAAUAUCUAAUCUAGUAAGUGAAUAAAUAAUAGUUCUUGAAUUGAAUUUGCUUGUUGUUGAUUCUCUAUCUCCUUAGUGCCACAAUUAUAAAAAAUUAGAAACAAAGAUAAAAGUUAGAAUGCUAUCUUUUUUAAAUCUUGUUUCUUUUAUAAUAUUUUUUUUUAUCUUCUAUUUUGAUCUUGAUUAAUGUCAUUAAUAAAAAGCAUCAAUCCCUUUUCUUAUAUUUGCAAGAUUUUUGUUGACUUCUAUGUACAUUUAUUAAUAUUAUAUCUAUACCAAUGAAUAAGAUAUUUUAAAUUAUUUUGCUACUACCUUGAAUCUAAGACUUCUUCCAUUUCAAGUUCUUCAUUAUUAUCCACUUCUAUAGGAAGAGGUGGCAUUUAUCUUUUUUUUUGAAAUAUUCACUAUUUCAUAUUAUUUAGAAAGAAAUAUGUAGAAUAUGGGAUGAAAUCUCAUAGACUUUGGUAGAUAUAACCAAUAAGCAACAUGAUUGGUUCUUUUACAAAUAGGAAAUGGUCUAAACUUAAGGUAAUCCAACUAGUUAGAAGAAUGUCUAGUCUUAAUAUUGUGAUGAAGCAAUCAUAUCUUAUUAAUAACAUAGAAUUGAAGUUGUUCUUUGUGAUAGGCAUCCACAUUGGUCCUUUAUUAUUUAUGAGCUUUUUAUGGUUGUAGCUUCAUUAUUAUAUGUAGCUCAGAUAAAUGAUUCAUCAAAUCUUUUGUUGCGGGAUUAUUAACUUUUGAGAAGUCAAAAACAUCAAAUUAUAGAUGAUAACCAUAAUUAAUAAAAGAAAAGUAUUUAUUGUAUAGAAGAAUGUAUUAUGUUGUUAUAAAAGAAAUUUACCAAUGUCAAAAGAAUUGUCUAAUCAUCUUGUUGGUAGUUGAUAGUAUAUCUUAAACAUAGUUCUAAAACGUCUUUAAUGUAUUCCAUUUGUCUAUAAAUUUGAAAAUAAAAGAUUGAAAUAACUUCAUGUCUAUUUCUAAAAUCUUAAAAAGAGGUUUCCAAAAUCUUGAUAUAAAUUGAGUCUUUCUAACUAAUAUAAUAUCUUUGAGAUCUCCUCAAAAGUAUUAAAUUUUAUCAAGAAAAAUAAUUUUAUUUCUUUACUUGUGCUAGAUUUUCUUAUUUGGUAUAAAAUACACCAGCUUGAUCAAAUGAUCUACUAUCUCAAAUGUGGAAUCAUAUAAAUAUCAGACAAGGGAUAAAAUGUAUAGAAAAAAAAGACCAUGGUUGUUUUGAAAUGUGUAAUGGCUGAAGAAGUCGAUAAGAAUGAUGACAAGAGAUGUUUGAUCUUGAACAAAUGUCGCAUGAUUGUUCAAAGUCUUUGAAUACCUCCUACAUUUGAAGCUACCAAAAAUCUUUAGAUAUUUGGUCCAAAGUUUUGUUCUAUCUAAAAUAAAAAUAUGUUCUAAUGGACUUAGUGACAAUUCAAAAUAUGUACUGACAUGAAGUACUUGAGGUUCUUAUGAUUUGUAUAUAUGAUAAUUGAACUAGAAGCACUUUUUAAAUAAUGAAGCUAUUCUUAAAAUGAUUCCUUGAUUGCAAGAAGUACUUUUUUGUAGAUCUUAUAGUUAAUCUCAACUGUUGAAAAUUUCUUGAAAUGAAAAGCUUCCAAGUAGAGCUUGUCAUCUCUUCCUAUUUGUGACAAAAUAACACCUAUAGCAAAAUCUAAUGCAUUUAUUUUUAUAAGAAAUACCUUGAAAUAAUCAAUGUGAUAUAAGAUUGAUACAAAAAUAAAUGUUGUUUUCAAGACCCUAAAACUGGUACACAUUGAUAGUUCCUUGAGAUUUGAUUGCAUCACCUUCAAGCUUGCAGUGGCUUAGUCUUCCGAGGAAUGCUCAAACUUCUAAUGAUCCAAUGGAGAUCUUUGGUACAUCAAUGGAGUGCAAAGAAGCUUUCUAGGCAUUUAUAAGUUAAAGUCUUGUUGGUGUGUUUAGCAAGUGCCGAAUGAAGAUUCACCAUUACAAAUACAAGGUUAUCUGUAUCCAUUGUGUCACUUCUCCAAAAUAGAUCUAUAUAUUUUCUAAUUGGAUUUUUAACUUCAUUGUUACUCGAAAAGGCUGGAACUUCUUCCUUUCGUUUAGGAUUUAGGAAUUUUGUUGAAUCGUCUACUUAUUAUGAUCAAAUCCAUUUAAAAUUAGCUCUUAGUUUGUUGAGUUGCUUAGAUUACCUUGGAAAAGAGUUUGAUGUAUGAGUACUUGCAACUGUUGAUAAUGCAGUUAUUGAUGUCAUGUUUCAUGUUGCAGAGUAGAGAGCUUGAGUAUAAUACAAAGAGAGAGCCUUUAGUACUAGAGAUGUUCUCUAUUCUACAUUUUUUGAUCAAAAUAUUCCUCGAUAAAUUGGGACUUCAAUAUAAAGAUUCAAAUAUCUGAUAAAGUUAUGUAAUCUUUUGUAUUUAAAUUUAUAGCAGCAAUAACAAACAAUGGUUGGUAUAGAUAUCUACCUGAUUUAGUAGAAGUCCACUUUUCAAACUAACAUCUAUGUAAUACUUAAGUGAUACUCUUUGAAUACUUUGUUGAUACCUAGCCUAUUAUAAACUAGUGAAGGUUGCCUCUAUUGACAAUUACUGAUAAUCAUAAUGUUAUCUGACUCGAUCAGUUGUUUUUUAUAAAAAUCAUCUAAUUUUAGGAAACACUAUGCAGUGAGAUUCAAAGAUGGAGUGACUAACUAGCCAUUGAAGAAAAACUUGGGAAUUUACAUAUAAAAUGCAUUAGUAUAAUGAAUCUCAUUCCAUGAAACGUAGCUCUCAAGUGUCACACAUGUUGAUUGCUCUUAGUGGCAUGAUCUAAUGUUGUCACAUAUAAAGGUUGAGUUGUAGUUGUAGGAUCCUCUAGAAGUAGAACAUGCCUAUAGAGUGUUGGUAAACUUUGCCAAAAAAAUAUCAUUAUGAAGUUGCCUCUAGAUAAUUUGAUUUAUGAGAGUAUUGUAUCAAACUUAUUAUAGUUCACCUAGUUGGUAAAGGACUAAAUGUUGGCAUUAUAGUUAUCCAUGAAGAAGAUCUUCAUGCCAUCGCUACCAAAGCUUAUUCGUAGGUCCUUAUAUACCUAUUGCAAAGCAUCACCAUAAGUGCGAUUGAUGGCAUUGAUGUCAUCCUCGCACAAGUGCGUGUCCUUAGUCUAGUUGAAAAAUUAUAUCAAAUAUACCAAGUUACAACUUUUUGGCAAUAUGUUGCCAAUGAAGAAGAGCUGUGCACCAAAAUCAUGAAGCGUCUAAAAAAGUAGGUCAUUAAUUACAUCCACAACACAAAUAUCAAAUAUAAUCUCAAAUAGACACAAGAGAUAGGAUUUGACUUACGGUGAUGGGCGCCUUGAUUACAACAACAACAGCUGAAACAAAUGAGGCAAUAACUACCAGCCACGGCAUGUUCAGCACAUUUGUGAUGACAAGCAAGUCAAUGCCUCCAAUUUCAAGAAUAUGAUAUAUACCAUUGCUGUACGUAUUCUACAGUAGUUGAUACGGACCUUUUGCUGCACAUAUAAAUUCUAUCCAAAUCAACCUAGACUUUUCAAUACUAGAGAUAUUUUCUAAGUACAAUUCAAGUUUCUUGAUACCUUCAUCUGUACUCUAACAAUAAACUCUAUUUUACAGAUGUAGCAUAGAUUUAUCACAUGGGUAUAGAGAAUAUCACAAAUCUAUUGAAAAGAGCUCAUUUGGCUUUAAGAAAAUUACCAAUUAUUUGAAAAGAAUCUUCCAUGAAUACAUGCUUCAAAAACAUUGCUUCAUUAUUGGGAUUCUAUGAUAGUUAUUCAUUAUUUAGAUAGUUUGUUGUAAACAUUGGCAGUCUCUAAACAUGAAGAUGUAGAAUAUUUCAAAUCCAUUUUAAAUCUCAAAUUCAAGCAUAAACUUGCCUAUGAUGAAUAUUAAUCCUCAUGAAUGGAGAUGGUUAUCCAAUGCUUAUAGUGUGGGAGAUAAAACCUUGUAUUGAGUGCCUUACUUUUGAAAUUGAGAAAAUUAUCAACGUAUAAGUUGAGGUAGAUCGGUGUCAUGAUUGUGGUGGCCUUUGCAAUCACAUGAGCAUAGGCAAAGUUGGCACUAUGCAUAUCUAGAAUGCUUUAGGGCACUUGAAUUUCUUACUUGCCGUGCUUGCAAUUGGCACCAUGAGCAUCAAAUUUAGCAAUAGUACCAAUUCAACCAUUGCCAAAGCCAUCUUCACUAUAAAAUUCAUGUCGCUAUUAAUGAAUAAGAUUAAUAGUAUAUACACUACAAAUCAUGCCUCUGUCGAUGAAAUUGAGAAUGCUAAUCAGACCUCUAUCAAAGAUUCAAAAGCAACUUUUGCUUCUUGAUUCCAUUGGAGUUCGUAUUUACAAGUCAAACGUAUAAGUGGAGCUUCAACUCGAGAGUAGUCUUUGAUGAAGAUCCGAUAGUAGUUGGCAAAUCCUUAAAAACAUUGGACAUCUCUUACCAUUUUUGGGAUCGUCUAAUAUAUAAUAGUUUCAACUUUCUUAGGAUCCAUAAUAAGUCCACCAUUUGAAAUGAUGUAACCUAAGAAAUUGACUUGAGUAGUAUGGAAUACACACUUUUCUAUCUUGGCAUAGAGUCCUUCAUCUCUUAAUUUUUGUAAUACACGACAAACAUGAAGUUCAUGUUCUUCUGGAUUCUUAGAAUAGAUCAAGAUGUCAUCUAGAUAAUAGACCACAAAAUCGUCCAAAAAUUCUUGAAAAACAUCAUUUAUUAGAUAUUAAAAAGCUGCUGGUGCAUUUGUUAGUCCAAAAGGCAUGACGUUGUAUUCAAAAUGUCCAUACCGAGUUCGAAACAUAGUCUUCCAUUCAUUUCCUUCUUUGAUGCGUACUAGAUUGUAUGCUCCUCGGAGAUCUAUUUUUGUAUACAUCUUAGCUUGAUUCAGCUAAUCAAGAAGUCUAGAUAUUAAAAGUAGUGGAUACCUGUUCUUAAUAGUAAUCUUGUUGAGUCCUCGAUAAUCAACACACAUCUGCAAUGAUCUAUCUUUUUUCUUCACAAAUAGAAUUAGAGCUCUUGUGGGAGAUUUAGAAUGGCGUAUGAAAUUCUUGGCUAGAUUUUCUUCAAUAUACUCCUUGAGUUCAGUCAACUUAUUUUGUGAUAAACUGUAGAUUGGUCCGAAUGGCGGUUGUGCUCCUUCUUAAAGGUCAAUUGAGCAAUUAUAGAGACGAUGUUCCGGGAGUGUAUCUGCAUUCUUUUUUUUUAAUACAUCUUAAAAUUCUUGAUAUUGGCUUGAAAUGCCACUUGAAGACUUUCCACCAGUAGGAACAAGUGUGGCAUAGAUAAUAUAUGGUGAUUCUUUUAUAGCAGCAUGCAAGAAAGCUUUUGUACCUAUAAAUACGGAUUUAAUUGAACUGGACUUAUGACUCUCUACUUGAUUAAUCUCACUAUUAGUUAUACUUUUAGAGAAAGUAAGAAUUCGGAAAAUCCAAUCUAUUUGAGGGUUGUAUUUUUCUAACCACGAUAAAUCUAAAAUGAUUGGAUUAGAGAGAAAUCUAAUGAUAUUAAAUACUACAAAGCUAUUAUGACCAUUGAUUAUUACUUCUAUAAGAAGGAUUUCGUGAGUAAUAUCUCCAAAAGACAAUGAACGACCAUCUAUGACUUCUACAUGAACAGGUUUAGUUUUCUUUACUAAAGAUAUGCUAUGUCUUUUAGUAAAUUCUUCAUCUAAAAGACACGAUGAGGCUCCCGAAUCUAACAAGCCAGAGACUUUGUAAUGUUUAGGUCCUAAAAUAAUAUUUAAUGUAAAACAAGGAGAGGGCUCUGAAGAGAGAAUAGGACUCUUACUAGAUGUUGUGCAAGGUUCCAGCCGCAUGGUCCCUAUUGUAGUUGGACAAAUUCGUUUUCUGACAUAUUGUCUUCUUUUACAGCCAUACUCUUCAUUUUUUGAUUACGUCGUAUCUUUGGACAAUGUUGAGCAGUGUGCUUUGAUUCUCCACAAUAUAAACAUAAACUUUCUUCACGACGAUGAGUCUUUUCUCGCUCAGUAAGAGAUUUGAAACGUACUGCAUCAAUUUGCAUAUCCUCUACUUUCGAAUGUAUGUGAUGAAGAAGUAUUGGUGUUACCAUUGAAUUAUAGUAACAUUGAGGUCGAUUCUCAGAUCGGAAUUCAAAAAGAUGAUUGUCGCACUUCAUAACAAAGUCAAUUCCUUGACUCAAUGUUUGAAGAUCAGGUAAGUUGAGCAUUAAUUUUUUUACCUCAUAUUAUAAUCCGUAGAAAAAUUGGCUAAUAAGUGCAGCAUCAUCCCACUUGAUAUCAGUUGCAAGUUGUCAAAAUUAUAAAGCGUACAACGUUACUGAUUGAUUGUUUUUUCAUAAAAUACGAAUCUUAUUGGUUGCAAUACGAAUUGCAUCAUGUUCUCCAUACAUGGAUUGAAACUCCGCCAAAAAAGCCUCUAGAUUAUCUAAUAUUGGAUCUCAUCAUUCAAAAACAAAUAAAAACCACGAUAGUGCUGAACUUGAAAGAAGCGUACCUAUGAAUCUAACUUGCGAUCCUGGAGUUGGAUAGCUUUAGGAUUGAAGUUCAAUCACAAGUUGAACUUGAUUGAUAAAUCCUCGAAACUUAGAUCUGGUGCCAUCAAACUUCUCGAGUAGGGCAAUUCUUGGUUCUCUAACACUUGAAAGACGUUCCAUCAUAGGAGAAAAGACAUGAUUUAGUAGAGUUGUUGAAGUAGCUACAACCAUUUCUAUAUCUUCACUUCCUGCCAAUCUUAUUGCUCCUUGUGGUGGUAAAUUGAAUUGAUGCAUUGCAAGCAUUAAUUCUCUCAAUUGCUCUUGCAUUUGUGCCAUUGCACUCUUCAUUUCAACAAGUUCUGUUAUGAUAACACUUAGAAAAGAGAAGAUGACUAAUAUCGCUCAAGACAAAUAGAAGAGAGGACUUGAGAACAAAGAAAAUACUAAAGACAAUAUCAGUUUAAAAGAGGGUAAUCCGCAACUUCUAAUGUGCUAAUAUCUUAUCAAGAAAAAGAGGUAAUCCACUCUUAAUCAAGAUUAGACAAAGCUCUGAUAUUGUAGGUGUACUCUUGUCAAACAGUCAAGGACAAGAAUUCGACAAAAAAACAAUCCAGACAAGUGAGCCUUCACUCAAAGAAAGGUAACAAAAUAUAAAUAAAUUAGUAUGUAUAUUGCAAGAAAAACUAGAAUGGCUAUUGCCAAAAGACAAGAAAACUAGAGACCCUUGAAACUAGAUUAGAAGCAAGAAAGGACAAAAGUGAAGAAGGCUUCACUCUUAUCUCUAAAUAUACUAUCUAACUAGGGGCUACGUAGCGACAUUCUACAGGACAUCAAAUAUGUGUUGACUUUGUAGGACACAUGCCUUGACUUACAAGGCAAGUUUUUCUACGUGUGAGCCACAUAGUUAGCUUGAUCUUCAAGCUAACAACAUGUGUGGCACAUGGCCAACUUGUUCACGACAUUUCUAAUCCAAAAAGUCAAUUAAAGACACCUAUGAAGUCAAAGCAGCAUCUAUAAAGCUUCUAAGAAGCUUCCAUAUUAAAUAUUAUAGAAAUAACUUACUUUUACCUACCUGUAUAUGUAAUUAUUAGCUUAUAUGAGUAUGUCCGUGACAUGAGGUCACUCUAUUUCUUGCUGGAUUAGUGGCAUAACAAAAUGAUAACUAUUUUCAAUUGGAUUUGUCAAUGCUUGUGGUAUAGUUUGGUAUUAUAUAGCCAUAACAAAGGUUGCACAAAUAAUUAUCUCAUGGAUUGAUGCCGACAUGAUGCCAUGAUUAACAAUGUUUUUUUUUUUUUAUCAAUGUUUGAUAAAUAUCUACAAUAUUAGUAAGUUGGAUUAUAUGCUAUGGCUUGUCUUACAUGUCUACAUGUCGAGGAGCCAUAAUCAUUGUUGCAAUUUGAAGAUUGCUUCAUAAUCAAAAGCAUAAAAAAAAAAACUAUAUUGAUUAAGACUAGAAAUAUAUGAUGUAUUAAAUAUCUUAUGCUUAGUUAUUUAUUUAUAUAUAGAAAAGAUAAUAUAAGUAGUAUGAAUCACAUAAUUGACUCACUUGUGUAGUUAUUUCAAAAGUUAUAAAUCUUGUAAACUGGCUCUGGAGUUUAUAGAGUAUGAAAUUUGAAUAGUAUUUCAAAACUUGAUUAAUUUCAAUAAUGUAUAGUAUUGCUUGAAUGUACUUCAAGGCAAUGGAUUUAUAAAUAUAUAUAUAUAUAUAUAUAUAUAUAUAUAGAUAAAGACUAUGAACUUAUAUAUAAUACAAACUAAUAUUUCUUGAAUUUACUAUUUCUUUGAUAAAGUGAUGAUAUACUUCAAUGUGCUUUGUUCUUGCAUAGAAUAUAAGGUCCUUAGCUAACUUCAUUAGUGAUUGAUUGUUCCAAACUAGCAUAAAAUUAUCUUGAAUUUUUUACAUAAGUUUUUUGUUGUUGCUAUUGUUAAGUGAGAGCAUCAACAAUAAAGAUUGUAUGACUCCUAUUCUAAUAGGUAAUCUUCUUAACCAAAUGGCUUUUGGAAUUCUAAUAGAUAGACUUACAUAUUCAAAUUCAAUUGAAGAUUUUACUAUUGUUUGGUGUUUUUUAUUUUUUUAAGUAAUUACUAUUCUAACAAUAAUAAAAUAUUAACAUCCUAUAGAUCUUUGUAUUUUGAGGUAUAAUCAACAUCAAUGUAAAUUUAUACAUAGCUAUUUUGAUUUAUAGUAAAGUUCAAAAUCAAAAGUUCCUUUGAUGUAUCUUACUACAUGUUUAGGAUUUAGGAUUUAAGCUUAUAUGUUUGUUCUCAAAACAUUGGCAUAUUUUUUUUGAAAUUUUGAAUUAAUCUACUUCCUCUAUUUUCAAGAGUUGUGAUUUCAAUGUUGGAAUUAACUUUACUUAUGCUUCUUUCAUUUGAUAGAUAUAAAUACUUAAGAUUCAAAGUUUAGGAUUUGAAGUUUAGAAUUUAGGAUUAUAAGGGUGUCUUUGUUCUUGGGCAUCAAUAUUUUUAGAUUUUGACUUGACUUACCUCUCCAUUUAUAAUAUCUAGGAUUUCAAUGGUGUAAUUAUUGUCAUAGGUAUACAUACAUAUUCUAUUAAAUACCUAUAUGAUAAGAUAGAAAUAAGUAAAAGUAAAUAAAAAUAAAUUAAUUUCAUAAUACCUUUUAGAGAAGCUUUUUAGAAGCUUCAUAGACAUUGCUUUGACUUUACAUGUAUUUGUAGUUGAUUGAUAGGUUAGAAACUUAAACAACAAGUUAACCGCAUAUUGAUAGCUUGCAAAAUAAGCUAAGUAUGUGACAUGCAUAUAAAAAACUUGCUUUGCAAGUUAAGAUGCAUGUCUUACAAAGUCAACAUAUUUUAGAGGUGUUAUGGGACAUUGCUACAUAGUUCCUAGUUAAAAGUAUAUAUAGAGGUAAGAAUAAAGCCUUCUUUACUCUUAUCAAUGCCCUUUUAGUCUUUAGUCUUGUUUCAAGACUUUCUAGUCUUUUUGUUUUUGGCAAUAGUCAUUCUAAUUGAAUAUUAUAUCAUCUUUGAGUGACUUUCUAAUUCUUUUUAGUGACAUAAGAGUGUAUUGAGGAUUUCUUUCUUCAAGAUUCAUAUCUUUGACAAAUAAUUUCUUCCACAUGUUCAUAGUUUGGAAAAUAUAUCUACUUUGAUUUGGACUUUAAGAUUUAGAUUUUUGUCAUACAAGGAUUUUUGAAAUUUUUGAAAAAUCUAUUAGAGUCAAUUGGAGGUCGUCUAUUCUAAAUAUGUACUUGAAGUUUUUUAAAAGUGUAUAUAUUUGUAGAUAUUAAGUAUUUGACCAUUUUGACUAGUGAGUUGAUUUUACAUAUGAAUAAAUAUUUUUAAAUUUUGAUUUGACCUGUCUUCUUAUUUUAAGGGUCUAAAAAUCUAAUGAUGGACUUGAAAUCCUAUACAUAUUUUUUAAUUUUGAAAUAUAAGGCAUUUGACUUGAUGUAAUUUUAAGUCCAUCUUUUUUGUACUUUGUCUUUUGAAAGUUUUGAUUUGACCUACCUCUCUAUUUAUUACGCUUUUGAUUCUAAUGAUAUAUUUAAUAUCUUUAACAAGUUUGUAAUUUAAGAAAUAUGAUGUUUUUAAAAUAAAAUAAAAAAAUUCCUUUAAUUAAUAUAUGAAAAAAAAUUAAAAAUAUAUAAUAAAUAUAUAGAAGCUUUUGGAUACUACAAUAAUAUAUUGAAUAGAAUAUGUAAAUAUAUGUCAUUUUUUUUACAAGAUAUUAUAUUUAUAUUAAUUUCUAAAUACAUAAUACAUAUAUAUAUAUAUAUAUAUAUAUAUAUAUAUAUGUAUUUUAAAAUUAUAUUAUCUAUGUUUUAAGGAUUUACAGUUUAGAAUAUUAGGAUUUAAGAUUUAAGAUUAAAUGAAUAUUUUCUAAAAAUGAAUACAUUUUUUUAGAGAUUUUGAAUUGAGUUACUUUUCCAUUUUCAAGGGUUGUAGUUCCAAUGGUGCAAUUAACUUUACUUAUAGUUCUUUAUUUGGUAGAUAUAGGUUCUUCAACCUUUAAAGAUAGAAGUGAUUUUUGAAGAUAGAUUUGACUUUUUUUUAUUGAUGAUGAACUUCAACAUUUUGAAGUUACCUACCUUCAUAUUUUAAAAUAUCAUGAAUCUAAUAGUAUACUUAGUUUUUCCAAAAAGUAUAUGAUUUGGAUAAUAUGGAGGUUUUGAAAAUAAAAUUUAGAAUUGAUAAUUUCUUAUAUUUUUAGAAUUUUGAAAUUUGAAGGUGACUUAUUCUUUCAUUUUUGAUAGUGGUGAUUUCAAUGGUAUAAAAACAUUUACUUAUGCUAUUUCCAUUUGAAAGAUAUGAAGAAUUUGACUUUUUAGGAUUUAAGAUUGACUAUGGAAUCUUAGGAUUUAGGAUUUAGGAUUUAUAAUAAUAAAAUUAUAAUUUAACAUAUACUUGAUAUAUACCAUUGUAAUUGCCUUGAAAAAUUAAUUACAAUAGAGUCAAGGUUUAGGAGUUUAGGAUUUUUAGGAUUUAGGAUUUAGGAUUUAGGAUUAAAAAUGUAUGCCCAUUUAUAAGGUUUAGGAUUUAGGAUUACAAGGAUGUACCUGGAUUUACUAACCUCCUUAUUCUUGGAUUUUGAGUUGACAUAUUACUCUAUUUUUGAGAUCUACAAUUCCAAUAGUACAAACAACUUGCUCUACCAAUUUUUAAUUUAUAAGAUAUAAAGAGGUUUGACUUUGCCUCUAAGAUAGUUGACUUUUGUGAUAUAAGGUGCAUUUGAAAGUUUUGAAAAAGACAUUGGAUCGAUUUGAGGGCUAAUAAUUAUAAACAUGUGAAUAAAUUAUUGUGGAUGUGUAUAAAUAGGAUAAUAUUAGAUAUUUAGUAUUCAAGGUAUUUGAGUUGAUGUAUGCAAUUGAAGAAGAAUAUUUCAGGAUUUAAUUUGACCUGCUUCUUUAUUUAUAGGAUCUACCUAUUAUGUAGUGUGAAUAACUUGCUCUAUAGUUUCUCAAUAUUAAGAUAUAAGGCGUUGCAUUUGAUAUGGAUUUGAGGAUUGACUUUUUGUGUGUUUUCUAUUUUGGAGAUUUUAAACGGAUGUGCCUCUGUGUUUGUCAUGCUUUUGAUUCCAACGACAUAUUUGAAACCUUCAUUGGAUCUACGGUUGAAGAGACACAAGGUUAUAAAAAGUAUGAGUGUCAAAUGGGAUUUAAGGGGAUUCAAGUUCUACAAGCAUGAGUAUGAACGAGAUUUAGGAUUGAAGGUCUACAAGUGCUAAUGUAAAUGGGAUUUAAAGGAGUUUAAGGUCUAUAAGAACGAGUGUAAAUCAAAUUUAAGAAAAUUUAAGGUCUAUAAAUACAAAUGUGAAUGGAGUUUAAGGAGAUUUAAGGUCUACAAAUGUGAGUAUAAAUGGGAUUUAAGUAGAUUCAAGGUCUACAAGUAUAAGUGUGAAUGGAAUUUUAGAGAUUUAGGGUAUAUUAAAUCAAGUGUGAAUGGAAUUUAAGGAAUUGAGGGUCUAUCAAUGUGAGCAUGAAUAGGAUUUAAAGAAUUAAGGGUCCAUAAAUACAAGAGUGAACGAGGUGCAGUAUAGAAUUGAAGAUGUAUUAUUACAAGUAUAAAUGGAGUGUGGUUAAGAUUGAGGUUCUAUUAGUGCAAGUAUAAAUGGGAUACAGUUCAAGAUCUACAAAUGUGAGUGUGAACAUGAUUUAAUGGAUUGAGGGUUUACAAGUGUGGAAGUAAAUAGGAUAUAAGAAAUUUAGGGCCUACUAGUACAAGUCAAAUCAAGGUUUAAGGUUGAGAGUCUACCAACAUGAGUGUGAAUAAGGUUUAGGAUUGAAGAUCUACCAAUGCAAGUGUAAGAACUUUAGUAUCUACUAGUGGGAAUGUAAACAAGAUUUAGAGUUGAAGGUCUAUUGCCAUAGGUAUAAACGAGAUUUAAAGAGGUUUAAGGUCUACAAAUGCAAGUGUAAAUGGGCUUUAAGGAAUUUUUGGAUGUACAAGUAUGAAUGUGAAUCAAGCUUAGGGUCCAAAGUAUAUGACUAAAGUUUGGAAAUUACAAGUGUGACUAAGGGUUUAAGAUUUAAGAUCUAUAAGUACAAGUGUAAACGGACUUAAAGGAUUUAAGGCCCAAAAAUAAAAUCUAUCAAACACACAUGAAUUUACACCUUGCACUAAUGAUUUGUAAGUGCAAAGCCUAUGAAAUGUAUUAAACAUGGAUAUGCCAAUUUGCAUUAUAUUAUCAAAUAAAGUGGCCAGAUUUAGGAUUUAGGAUUUAAAAUAAAAUGAUUUAAGAUUUAAGAUCUAGAAUUAUAUGUGUAUUCUUUAAAAAAUUUACAUACUUAUUUUGGAAUUUUGAAUUAACCUAUCUUUCUUUUUUUAAAGAUUGUGGUUCCAAUGAUGCAAUUUAAUUUUAUUUAUGCUUCUUUCAUUUAAUACAUAUACAUUCUUUGAUUUUUAGAUACUAUUUUUUCUUUUCUUUUCUUUUCUGUUUUUUUUUUAUUUUUAAUACAGAAUUUAAAUAUUUUGAUGAAAUUUAUUCCCAUACUUUGGAAUGUUGUGAAUCUAAUGGUAUAUUUAGUUUUCCUAAAAAAUAUAUAAUUUAGAUGUUAUAGAGGUUUUAAAAGUGAACUUAAGGAUCAAUAAAUUCUUAUGUUUUUGGAAUUUUGGAAUUUAGAGGUGACCUAUCCUCCCAUUAUCAAGGAUUUUGAUUCCAAUGGAGUAAAAUCAUUUAUUUAUGCUAUUUCUAUUUAAAAGAUAUAAAGAAUUUGAGUUUUUAGGAUUUAGAGUUGAUUUUAGAAUCUUAAGAUUUAAAAUUUAAGAUCUAUAAUAAUAAAUUUAUAAUUUAACAUUAAUUUAUUAUAUACAAUUACAAACAUCUUGAAAAAUCCUUCAUAUUAGAUUCAAAAAUCAAAACAAUCCAACAAGAAUUGCACUCAAAUUCAACAAUCAAAGAUUUGACUUUCUUAAAAUAAAUUUGAAAAAUAUUUAUGCUCAUAUCUAGAGAUUUAUGAAAAAUCCCACAAAUAUACUAAUCACUAUUGAAAUUACUUUAAAAAAUCAAUCGCAUUAGACUCAAAGAUUUUAAAAAUUAAAUCAUAUUUGCAUACAUAAUCAAUAAUCAAAGAAUUGGCUUUCUUUAAAUAAAUUUGCCACACAUUUUUGCUCAUAGCUAGAGAUUUAUUAAAAAAAACCCACAAACGUGCUAUAUACCAUUAGAAUUGCCUUGAAACAUCAAUCAUAUUAGACUCAAAAUUUGCUAAAAUUGAAUCAAAGUUGCUUAUGAAAUCAAUAAUCAAAGUUUUGGCUUUCUUAAAAAAUACUUGCGACACAUUUUUGCUUAGAGAUUAAUACAAUACCCACAAAUAUGCUAUAUACAAUUACAAUCACCUUGAAAAAUUAGUCAUAAUAAACUAGGUUUUAAAAUUUGGGGUUUAGAGUUAUAUGUGUGUUUUUAGAUUUAAGUUUUAGGAUUUAGAAUUACAUGUGUAUUUCUAAGUUUAGGAUUUAGGAUUUAGGGUUUAGUAUUUAAGAUGUCUCAUUACAAAAAUGUCAAAAGUUUGAAAUAUACAUAAAGUUCUAAUUAUUAAACUUUAAAUCUUAAAAAAUAUCUAUCAAGUGGAUUGUAUAUAUUCUCUCCAAUUAGUCAUGUAGAGGCCAAUAUAGUGUCGAGCAACGCCCAUACAAUCUAUGUAAAUUUUGUUCUUUAGCAAAUAUCCACAACCAUUAGUCAGAGUUAGGUUUAAGACUUAGAGUUAAAUGUGUGUUUUCAAAAAAUUUACAUACUUUUUUUGGAAAUUUUGAAUUUAUCCACCCUCCCUAUUUUUAAAAGUUGUGGUUCCAAUGGUGCAAUUAACUUUACUUAUGCUUUUAUCAUUUGAUAGAUAAAAACACUUUGAUUUUGAGAUGUAGAGUUGAUUUCUAUUUUUGAUGAAGAAUUUCAACAUUUUGAAGAGACUUACUCUCCUAUUUUGAAAUGUUGUGAAUUUAGUGGUGUAUUCAAUUUUUCAAAGAAUAUAUGAUUUGGAUGAUAUGGAGGUUUUAAAAAGAAAUUUUAAAAUUGAUAAAUUCUUAUAUUUUUGGAAUUUUAGAAUUUAGAGGUGACCUAUCCUCCCAUUAUCAAAGGUUGUGAUUCUAAUGGAGUAAAAAAAUUUACUUAUGCUAUUUCUAUUUGAAUGAUAUAAAAAAAAAUUAAAAAUUAAAAACUAAAAAUUGUUCAAAUUGUAUUAGCUUUAUAACUCAAACUGUAAUAUAAACUAUGCAUCUUCCCUUUCCCUCUAGAUUUUGUUAGCAUACUCCAACCUCUCUUUCUAUCUUCUCCAUCAACCCUCUAUUGUACUUUAACCUAUUCCAACUUCCAUUGUACUUUUUCUCUCCAUGCCUCUUUAUUGAUUAAACACUUGAUGGAAUUUUUCUCCCCAUGCUUUUUUUUUAACCAAAGCAUUUAGAUUUUCUUUUCCAUCUCCUUUCUUACUAAAUGCUUUGGUUUCUUCUUCCAUGUUUUCUUUUUCAUAUAUUUAUUUUUACAAAUUUAACCUUGCUCUCACAAAAUAAUUUAUCUACAGAAAGAAAAUUGAGAAUCUAAGUGGAUAUAUGAAAGAAACUUCAAGUUUAGGUGAAAUUUAAACAUUAGCAGGGGAGAAAAUAAUAAUAAUAAUAAUAAUAAAUAUUUACAUAUAUAUAUAUAUAUAUAUAUAUAUAUAACAGAAAAAGAAAAAAGAAAAACAAAAAACAAAACAAAAGAAUUCAAAUCUCAUGUACACAUCACUCUAAUUGCCAAGCCACGAAAAUCCAACUAAUUAAACACUUCACACCAUGGCAUUGGUUUAGAUUCAAAAUCCACCAUACCCAUCUAAGCAACCUAUGGCUACAUGAUUUGGCACUACUAAUGAAACUUGUAGACAAGAAAAAUGACCAAUUGGAACCACCUACUAGCCUCAUGUAUUGAAUGACAAGAUGAUGCAAUAUGUACACCCAAGAUUUGUGAUUAUCACCACACCUCCUCCCCCUCUUCUCUUACUUGACUUUUACCUUUCUCCCUCCCAUAUUCUAUAUUACAAAUCCAUAUUUUGUAAUACACUGUUGAUUUUACUUAGUGUACUGCUAAGCAACUUCCCCUCACUGGACUUCAACAUAACAGUUGACAAUAGAAGUCACAAUCCAAUCUUUUAUUUAAAAGUACAUCCAACGUCCCCUCUGCACAUCAUGUUUUAUCAAUGUAUGUCUUUGAGACCAAAAAAUAGUGCACGCCUACCUGCCUGCUGGCAUCAAUUUCUACAGAUACAUAUAACCCUUCAGCAACAGAUACACAUAACCAGUCAGAAUCUGUCAGCUGGUUCAAAUUGGACCUAGUCGAGCAUGGAUGCAAAUGCAUAAUUCACGAUCUCUCUGUUUCUAGACACGCCGCAAAGUAUCAAGCGCACGAUAGCACUCUCCAAAUGGAGAGUUGACCCUGCUCUGAUGCCAUUAACACGAUACUUCUAGCUGUAACAAGAUAAGUGAACGUUCCUUGGACAAGGGCUUGCCUUGCAUUUAACAAGGCAGAAUAUAAGGAUAUCUUGCAUCAUUUGCUUCUUCCCCCGCUGCUCCACCAUGUGUGAAAAAAAGACGCUUUAAGCGCACGCGCUCUGCCUCCUGUAACUUCUUGUUGCUGGUAAUACACGAGAAGCCAAAAUCCAGGAUGCGGACAGUAGGCUUCUUUCCCCACACAACCAUAAUGUUACUUAAGGAAACAUCUCCAUGAAGCAACCCGCAUGCAUGGACUGCAGCAAGCGCUUCAAGCGCUGCAGUCUCCACCUCCCGGGUCACCGCCACUGAAACAUAAUCACCACAAAAGGCAAAUAAAUGACAACUCUGCCAGCAGAUUGCAGGUGGUCAAAGGUAUUGGCCCUUCAAAAAAACACACUUCAUAGAAUCACCAUGCCCAGGCUACGAGAAACCCUCAAGACCAGAAUACGGAGAGUAGGAUGCUCCGCAUCUGAGAGUUUUGCAAGAAAUCCUACCUUCUCCAAGCUCAACACCGUCAAUCAAUUCAGUUGCGAUAAAUACAACCCGACCGUUAUUUGUGGUUCCAUAUCCUAUUAAUCGAGGAACAAAAACCCCCCAAAGCUUCUCCAUCCUCGUAUAGGCAACCACCUCCUUCAGGAGAGCCUGCACAAGCGCGGCCAAAGAUGGGCUGGGCAGAGUCAGAUCACAAACAGGUAAGUGCCGCAAACUGCACGUGCACUUGAACACCAGCAUGCUCCACGUUGCAUCUACCAAAGACUACCUGUCAGUAAAGAUGUCACAAACAGGACCUCUCCUCCUCAGUCCCCGGAUUAGAUGAAGUAGCAGCCACUGUGAGAUGUGAACGCAACAUUUCCACAUGACACAACUCCGGCUCACCUCCGCACGUUCCGUGCCUAAGUGGGCAAACUUCAAUGCAACAGGUUGGCCACGCAAACGGCCAUUAACAACGCAUCCACUCCACCCCUCACUACUUAUGACACCGCCCGCCUUUUUCAGGUUCAGGUCCUCCGCGGGGACAUCUUCCAAAGCCAGCUGCGCCCCACCCGAGCUAUGUCUUUCAGACCUGCAAAUGCAGUUGCUGUCAUUUCACCAUUUGCUCUCGACUACGUGUCCGACUUCAUGGAACAAACUUGAAUAGCUGGCUGGACAAGUUACCUUCGUUUUCCAGAGGAAGAGAUAUUUUGGCUCACACGUGCUGUAAAGGUUCGAUCAUUGAUGUCGUCAUCACUGCUUUCGUCGGAAUGUUCAGAGGGGGCAGCUUCAUGAACUAAGGGAAAUUGGCCAUUCCCCGUUGGGUCACCAAACUCAGAGUUAUCCACUGCAGCAGCGUGCACCAAAUAUGACAACGCAGCGAGCACACGCGGGGGCUCAGCACUCGCCGUAAUACCAGCUGAUAUUUUGAGGCAGCCGGCAUUAUCCCGUUUGAAGAGAUACCAAUUUCUUGCAUCGGUUAGAACACCGUAACCCACCUUACACCUGCAACUCAGAGCAAAGGGAUAGCAAAAUGAGAACUGCCACGCAUUCCAUGUCGUUUUGCCAAACGUAGAUCGGGAAACCAAGACGGUACGAGAAAAUCCCACUGGCAGGACGAAGGGAGGAUACAAGUAAGAAGAAGAGAACAAGAUCAUCUUAAGUGAGUCAACAUAGAACCAGGAUCAACAGGCAGUAGAAUGCAGCUUGUUAGAAAAAGGGUUUCCUGUUUAUUGGGAUCGGAAAAGGCAAAGGCCAAGCACGUAAACGCUGAGCUCCAAGCGAAUCUAGCCAAGAGGAAAAACUACCGAGAUAAUCAGGGGUUCAAAAGAAGCUUACAGAACCAUGUACUCAUACAACUGACUAAUACAGCGGGUGAUCCUUUCACCUUGAGAUGGCGUGAUGCCAAAAACGGCGAACCCGCACCUGCCCUCUCCUGCGAUUAUUGGAACCUCUGUCAGAAUGCUUGCAACAAUGUAAGAAUUGGAACACACUAUGAAAAUAUGGGAUAGGGCCAGAUAGAACCUGAUGUGCAAGAGCAGUCUGUCCAAAAUCGGUGGAGAAACCAGGGGUCAUCUCCGUCACUUCCCAGACCUUCAUUCUUGACCUCGAAGACCAAAGCAUUCUUCUCCCUUAAAGUGAUUACGAAAUCUGCUCUAGGGCUUCCGGAAUAAACGUCAACCAUGGCACUUGAACUCGCACCCUCACUCGAUCCUAUCCCGUCAUUUCCGCCUUUUCUCUUGCUGAAGAUAAUGAAUUCCGACUUAAAGUGAAGGUUAGACUGCGGCUCCUUCUUCUGCAUAAAAGAUACCAUUUCCCCCAGGAUAAAAGCGAUAUGAUGAUUCUCAUGCUUCUCUUCCAGUCUAGUGUCCUGAGUGACAGCGGUGACAGCCAUUCGAAACACACGCCUCCUUCUAUCUGCGCUUUCUAGAAAUUCUUCGAUCUCGUUCAUUACAUCCCAAUGCUCUACUCUGACAGGUAACCACAUCCGUGCAUGGCUCGAGCUGCUUGGGUAAACGCCAGCCCGUGAAGAGCGAGUCGGCGGCACGACCUUCUGCACCAGCCACUCAUAUUCUGUGCCCAGGUCUGCAUGCACAACACAAUCUAAGAUUGAACUUGAUAUACACGCACCUUCACAAGCGUCACCGUUCCGAGGAGGAUCCAAACAGGUUCUAGGACAACCCUAUGGACGGAUCGCCUCCAAACGACCCACAAUAAAGAGUAAACAUAACCCAGAACACCUAGUUCGGCAACAAAGAACCGGCUACGGUACAAUCGAGGUCAAUGAAGUAAACUAUCCAAUCCUAUGCCACGACCAUGAAAUUAAACUUCCCCCAGUAAUCCGGCAGCCCCCCGGAAACCUUAAAAGACAAAGAACCUGAGGAGAUGGGCCUUCAAUGACAAGUGACGGGUGAUAGGAGUGACCUCGUCGUUGCAGGAUUUGCGUUUUCUCGUCCCGGAGUUGCGCUUUCUCGUCACGGAGUUGCGCUUCCUUGCCGCGCAGUAGCGCUUCCUUGCCCCGCAGUAGCUUCCUCUCCUCAUCGCCAGGGCAUCUGUUGAUCUCCUCUUCCAAUCUUCCUAUCUUCUCUUCCACUAUUCUUAUCUGCUCGUGAACGCUUCGAAUCUGGUCGUUCAAGUCUCGUAUCUGGCCAUCCACGCUUCGUAUCUGCUCUUCCGAAUUUCCACCACCGUCAGCCAUUCUUCUCCACGACCCAAUUCAAUAGGCAACCAACGAGGCGAGCCCGAUCUGAGGAACACGACCCCCUAUACCCCCAGACGAUGAUUUCUCCACGCUACUCUCAGAGCACAAGUCGUCAUCACCGUUUCCACCAACUUCAAGACCCCUUGCACCAGCAUCCAUGUGCAGCAAACUUAUCUAUAUCAACGUCCAGAAUGUCCACCGGCAUAAAUGUCCAGCA
RNAcentral lists this long non-coding RNA (21326 nucleotides) under Physcomitrium patens. RNAcentral's name for it is "long non-coding RNA (PPAT_LNC014679)". Lineage: Eukaryota; Viridiplantae; Streptophyta; Bryopsida; Funariales; Funariaceae. The record is from RNAcentral.